RNAcentral lists this ribosomal RNA (228 nucleotides) under uncultured Lactobacillus sp. Its description in RNAcentral is "partial 16S ribosomal RNA". It matches the Rfam family "Bacterial small subunit ribosomal RNA", at positions 134 to 356 of the family's 1533-position model. The record is from RNAcentral. Lineage: Bacteria; Bacillati; Bacillota; Bacilli; Lactobacillales; Lactobacillaceae.
GAGAUCGGGAUAACACCUGGAAACAGAUGCUAAUACCGGAUAACAAUAGAUGAUGCCUAUCAACUGUUUAAAAGAUGGUUCUGCUAUCACUCUUGGAUGGACCUGCGGUGCAUUAGCUAGUUGGUAGGGUAACGGCCUACCAAGGCGAUGAUGCAUAGCCGAGUUGAGAGACUGAUCGGCCACAUUGGGACUGAGACACGGCCCAAACUCCUACGGGAGGCAGCAGCG